UACGGGGGGUGCGAGCGUUGUCCGGAAUCACUGGGCGUAAAGGGCGCGUAGGUGGUUUGAUAAGGGUGUGGUGAAAGCCCGGGGCUCAACCCCGGGUCUGCCGUGCCGACUGUCAAACUCGAGGGCUGUAGAGGCAGACGGAAUUCCGGGUGGUAGCGGUGGAAUGCGUAGAGAUCCGGAGGAAGACCGGUGGCGAAGGCGGUCUGCUGGGCAGUUCUGACACUGAUGCGCGACAGCGUGGGGAGCAAACAGG
Molecule: ribosomal RNA, 253 nt
Filed under: uncultured bacterium
Lineage: Bacteria
Description: partial 16S ribosomal RNA
Rfam family: Bacterial small subunit ribosomal RNA
Source: RNAcentral